This is a transfer RNA of 85 nucleotides. It matches the Rfam family "tRNA". Rfam says of the family: Transfer RNA (tRNA) molecules are approximately 80 nucleotides in length. Their secondary structure includes four short double-helical elements and three loops (D, anti-codon, and T loops).
GCGGGCGUGAUGGAAUGGUAGACAUAACGGACUUAAAAUCCGUAGGGCCUCGCCCAUGCCGGUUCGAGUCCGGCCGCCCGUACCA